GGACGAACGCUGGCGUCGUGCUUACCACAUGCAAGUCGAACGGAAAGCCCCUGCUUUUGUGGGUUGCUCGAGUGGCGAACGGGUGAGUAACACGUGAGUAACCUGCCCUUGACUUUGGGAUAACUUCAGGAAACUGGGUCUAAUACCGGAUAGGAGCUCCUGCUGCAUGGUGGGGGUUGGAAAGUUUCGGCGGUUGGGGAUGGACUCGCGGCUUAUCAGCUUGUUGGUGGGGUAGUGGCUUACCAAGGCUUUGACGGGUAGCCGGCCUGAGAGGGUGACCGGCCACAUUGGGACUGAGAUACGGCCCAGACUCCUACGGGAGGCAGCAGGGGGGAAUAUUGCACAAUGGGCGGAAGCCUGAUGCAGCAACGCCGCGUGCGGGAUGACGGCCUUCGGGUUGUAAACCGCUUUCGCCUGUGACGAAGCGUGAGUGACGGUAAUGGGUAAAGAAGCACCGGCUAACUACGUG
Molecule: ribosomal RNA, 469 nt
Filed under: uncultured bacterium
Lineage: Bacteria
Description: partial 16S ribosomal RNA
Rfam family: Bacterial small subunit ribosomal RNA
Source: RNAcentral